This 215-nucleotide ribosomal RNA is filed under the name Aeromonas hydrophila. RNAcentral's name for it is "partial 16S ribosomal RNA". It matches the Rfam family "Bacterial small subunit ribosomal RNA", at positions 19 to 228 of the family's 1533-position model. The record is from RNAcentral. Lineage: Bacteria; Pseudomonadati; Pseudomonadota; Gammaproteobacteria; Aeromonadales; Aeromonadaceae.
AUGGCUCAGAUUGAACGCUGGCGGCAGGCCUAACACAUGCAAGUCGAGCGGCAGCGGGAAAGUAGCUUGCUACUUUUGCCGGCGAGCGGCGGACGGGUGAGUAAUGCCUGGGAAAUUGCCCAGUCGAGGGGGAUAACAGUUGGAAACGACUGCUAAUACCGCAUACGCCCUACGGGGGAAAGCAGGGGACCUUCGGGCCUUGCGCGAUUGGAUAU